RNAcentral lists this ribosomal RNA (481 nucleotides) under uncultured Desulfobulbus sp. RNAcentral describes it as "bacterial SSU rRNA". It matches the Rfam family "Bacterial small subunit ribosomal RNA", at positions 907 to 1382 of the family's 1533-position model. Lineage: Bacteria; Pseudomonadati; Thermodesulfobacteriota; Desulfobulbia; Desulfobulbales; Desulfobulbaceae. The record is from RNAcentral.
UGAAUUGACGGGGGCCCGCACAAGCGGUGGAGUAUGUGGUUUAAUUCGAUGCAACGCGAAGAACCUUACCUGGUCUUGACAUCCCGGAGACCCUUAGGAAACUAGGGGUGCUUCCAUCUGGAAGAAUCUGGAGACAGGUGCUGCAUGGCUGUCGUCAGCUCGUGUCGUGAGAUGUUGGGUUAAGUCCCGCAACGAGCGCAACCCUUGCCUUUAGUUGCCAGCAGUUCGGCUGGGCACUCUAAAGGGACUGCCGGUGUUAAACCGGAGGAAGGUGGGGAUGACGUCAAGUCCUCAUGGCCUUUAUGACCAGGGCUACACACGUACUACAAUGGCCGAUACAAAGGGCAGCGACACUGCGAGGUGAAGCCAAUCCCGUAAAAUCGGUCUCAGUCCGGAUUGGAGUCUGCAACUCGACUCCAUGAAGUUGGAAUCGCUAGUAAUCGUGGAUCAGCAUGCCACGGUGAAUACGUUCCCGGGCCUU